This 472-nucleotide ribosomal RNA is filed under the name uncultured Bacteroidota bacterium. Its description in RNAcentral is "bacterial SSU rRNA". It matches the Rfam family "Bacterial small subunit ribosomal RNA", at positions 57 to 518 of the family's 1533-position model. Lineage: Bacteria; Pseudomonadati; Bacteroidota. The record is from RNAcentral.
GCAAGUCGAGCGGCAGCAUGAACUUAGCUUGCUAAGUUUGAUGGCGACCGGCGCACGGGUGAGUAACGCGUAUCCAACCUUCCGUACACUCAGGGAUAGCCUUUCGAAAGAAAGAUUAAUACCUGAUGGUAUGAUGGGAUUGCAUGAUAGCAUCAUUAAAGAUUCAUCGGUGUACGAUGGGGAUGCGUUCCAUUAGAUAGUAGGCGGGGUAACGGCCCACCUAGUCGACGAUGGAUAGGGGUUCUGAGAGGAAGGUCCCCCACAUUGGAACUGAGACACGGUCCAAACUCCUACGGGAGGCAGCAGUGAGGAAUAUUGGUCAAUGGGCGCGAGCCUGAACCAGCCAAGUAGCGUGAAGGAUGAAGGUCCUACGGAUUGUAAACUUCUUUUAUAAGGGAAUAAAGUCACCCACGUGUGGGUGUUUGUAUGUACCUUAUGAAUAAGCAUCGGCUAACUCCGUGCCAGCAGCCGC